CCCUUAGAUGUCCUGGGCCGCACGCGCGCUACACUGUUUGAUUCAGCGAGUCUUAACCUUGACCGAAAGGUUUGGGUAAUCUUCUAAAGUCAAACGUGAUGGGGAUCGAUCAUUGCAAUUAUUGAUCGUGAACGAGGAAUUCCUAGUAAAUGCAAGUCAUCAGCUUGCGUUGAUUACGUCCCUGCCCUUUGUACACACCGCCCGUCGCUACUACCGAUUGAAUGGUUUAGUGAGAUCUCCGGAUUGGCUCUGUAGGUCCCGCAAGGGAUUUAUUAGUAGCCAAGAAGCUACUCAAACUUGAUCAUUUAGAGGAAGUAAAAGUCGUAACA
Molecule: ribosomal RNA, 329 nt
Filed under: uncultured eukaryote
Lineage: Eukaryota
Description: partial 18S ribosomal RNA
Rfam family: Eukaryotic small subunit ribosomal RNA
Source: RNAcentral